AUUUGUGGGAAGUCUGUUGAGAGGGAACCAUUUCCAAGAUGUAUGGGGAAGAAUUUCCUGAGCUGAUGUGAGAGUGUCAUUCCACAGGGCCAUCAGACAGGAGCCGAGCCCCUCUGCCGGCAGGGAAACGGUCUCUUAUGGAAACUGGGAAUCAUAUGAAGAAGAAUCCUAACCUCAAAGGGUCGUGGUGAGAAUCAAAUAAGAGGAUGUGCUUAGCACACAGGUGUCCAAGCAGCGAGAGCUCCAGCAUCCUGACCCCACAGCCUUUGUGGUUAACCACUGCUCACUGCUUUCCACUUGCUAGGAUGCCCCAGAAUAUUUGAAUCAGAGCCUCCAAAUGGAAAACGGACAGUGGAAGACUUCUGUACAAGUCCCCAGAAACCAGGCUGAGGAAGAGGGAGAAUCCGAAGCUGACUUCAGGGUUUUGAGCUUGGCUCACUGGGGUGAUGAAGUUGCCAGUAACAACAUGGAAAUAGCAAGAAGCAGGUUCAAGGGGAUGUAUUAUCUUCAUCCUGGAACGUUGGAUUACCGAGAUGCAAGUGGGCUAUCUGGGUGGAUUUUCUGGCAGGUGUUGGACUUCCAGAAAAUGAUUCUUCAAAGCUACACGAGGACUAAGAGUGUGGGAAAUAAUUGAUCCCAUCUGGGCAAAUUCAAGUGUUUUCCUGGGUGAAGACUUCUGGGGGCAGAGAGCAAACUAGAAAACAGAAAACAGAAGUGGGUACUCAUGGGUUUGUGGUCACGGCAUUCAGUUUUCUUGCCUGCAGAGUGGGUGCCUUGCUUUGUUCUUCCCAAGCUGUUGUUGAGGCUGCAUUAGGUCAGGAAUGGGAAAUUGCCCUGUAGAUUGUGCCCUGAGCUGUGGCGAGAGGCAGCAGACAGUAGCGUCAACCCCAGUCUCCCAAAUGCUGAGCAGGACAGGAGAGGUACAAGUGAAGUGCCCCCUGUCUCUGUGUCAUAGCUGAGAAAUUAAUAAUUGUUCCCUCUUCUGGUUUGAACUGGCCUUUUGAAUAGGCUCUAAAUUUGUUCAUAAUUGCCAAAGGAACGACACAAUAAAAACUGGAAUUUC
This 1063-nucleotide long non-coding RNA is filed under the name Homo sapiens (human). Its description in RNAcentral is "non-protein coding TTLL11-IT1:4". The record is from RNAcentral. Lineage: Eukaryota; Metazoa; Chordata; Mammalia; Primates; Hominidae.